UAUAAUCUUCAGGGCAGGGUGUAAUUCCCUACCGGCGGUAAAGCCCGCGAGCCGAAAGGCAUGAUCUGGUGAAAUUCCAGAGCCGACAGUUAUAGUCUGGAUGAGAGAAGAUGGAG
Molecule: non-coding RNA, 116 nt
Filed under: Fervidicella metallireducens
Lineage: Bacteria; Bacillati; Bacillota; Clostridia; Eubacteriales; Clostridiaceae
Also listed under: 1 other name
Description: FMN sequence
Rfam family: FMN riboswitch aptamer (RFN element)
About the family: The RFN element is a highly conserved domain that is found frequently in the 5'-untranslated regions of prokaryotic mRNAs that encode for flavin mononucleotide (FMN) biosynthesis and transport proteins. This element is a metabolite-dependent riboswitch that directly binds FMN in the absence of proteins. In Bacillus subtilis, the riboswitch most likely controls gene expression by causing premature transcription termination within the 5' untranslated region of the ribDEAHT operon and precluding access to the ribosome-binding site of ypaA mRNA.
Source: RNAcentral